Molecule: ribosomal RNA, 236 nt
Filed under: uncultured bacterium
Lineage: Bacteria
Description: partial 16S ribosomal RNA
Rfam family: Bacterial small subunit ribosomal RNA
Source: RNAcentral
UGAGUAACCUGCCCUUAACUCUGGGAUAAGCCUGGGAAACUGGGUCUAAUACCGGAUAUGACUCCUCAUCGCAUGGUGGGGGGUGGAAAGCUUUAUUGUGGUUUUGGAUGGACUCGCGGCCUAUCAGCUUGUUGGUGAGGGUAACGGCUCACCAAGGCGACGACGGGUAGCCGGCCUGAGAGGGUGACCGGCCACACUGGAACUGAGAUACGGUCCAGACUCCUACGGGGAGGCAG